AUGUCACAGGAAAACAUGUGUGAGGUACUUGGAAUUGAGGAUGAGGUUGAGGAUGCUCAACCAGUAAAGGAUCCAGCUCCAGUUGUUGUGUGCCAUGCUAAUGAGGAGUUAAUGGCUGAGGGAGCUAUACUAGUUGAUGACCAAGUUCCUGAAGAUGUAGAAAUGUCAUAUGACAAAGAUCAUCCUAAAGUUGAGAAAGGUUCAAUCUUUCCAACGAUGGUCGAUUGUAGGAGAGCUAUGAGGCAAUGGGCAAUUAAUGAAGAAUUCAACCUUGGGACUCACAGAGCUGACAAGAGUAGGUGGAUGGCACAUUGUAUGGCUGAGGAUUGUCCAUGGAAAAUAACAUGUUGUAUUAUGGCUGACAAGACAAAGACCAGGGUACUAACAUAG
Molecule: ribosomal RNA, 390 nt
Filed under: Triticum aestivum (bread wheat)
Lineage: Eukaryota; Viridiplantae; Streptophyta; Magnoliopsida; Poales; Poaceae
Description: partial small subunit ribosomal RNA
Source: RNAcentral